This 234-nucleotide non-coding RNA is filed under the name unidentified. RNAcentral's name for it is "Listeriaceae bacterium T-box sequence". It matches the Rfam family "T-box leader". From Rfam's summary of the family: Uncharged tRNA acts as the effector for transcription antitermination of genes in the T-box leader family. T-boxes are found upstream of many aminoacyl-tRNA synthetase genes and some amino acid biosynthetic genes usually in Gram-positive bacteria. The record is from RNAcentral.
GAAUGUGUUAGCAAAGAGAGUAGUAUAGUUUAGCGGCGUUUCUUAGAGAGUCUGUGGUUGGUGGGAACAGAUAACGUGCUUUUCUGGAAUGGACUCUUUGGCAUCAUUUGUGAACAGUGAAGUAGCAAAUGGCGGGUUAGACCGUUAUCUCUAGAGAUGUUGUUGCAUCUCGCUAAGUGGCUCUGGAAUGGAGUACUUAGGGUGGUACCGCGGAUUUUAACGUUCGUCCCUAUU